RNAcentral lists this transfer RNA (74 nucleotides) under Elusimicrobiota bacterium. RNAcentral's name for it is "Elusimicrobia bacterium (aquatic metagenome) tRNA-Met". It matches the Rfam family "tRNA". Rfam says of the family: Transfer RNA (tRNA) molecules are approximately 80 nucleotides in length. The record is from RNAcentral. Lineage: Bacteria; Pseudomonadati; Elusimicrobiota.
GGGCCCUUAGCUCAGUCGGUCAGAGCAUCCGGCUCAUAACCGGACGGUCACAGGUUCGAAUCCUGUAGGGCCCA